CCUACGGGAGGCAGCAGUAAGGAAUAUUGGUCAAUGGGCGCAAGCCUGAACCAGCCAUGCCGCGUGCAGGAAGACGGCCCUAUGGGUUGUAAACUGCUUUUGAACAAGAGAAAACCUCGGUACGUGUACCGAGCUGAUAGUAUUGUUAGAAUAAGCAUCGGCUAACUUCGUGCCAGCAGCCGCGGUAAGACGAAGGAUGCAAGCGUUAUCCGGAUUCAUUGGGUUUAAAGGGUGCGUAGGCGGCCUGAUAAGUCAGUGGUGAAAUCUCUCAGCUUAACUGAGAAACUGCCAUUGAUACUGUCGGGCUUGAGUACAGAUGAUGUGGGCGGAAUAUGACAUGUAGUGGUGAAAUACUUAGAUAUGUCAUAGAACACCGAUUGCGAAGGCAGCUCACAAAACUAGUAACUGACGCUGAGGCACGAAAGUAGCGGGGAUCAAACAGGAUUAGAUACCCUGGUAGUCCGCACCGUAAACGAUAGAUUACUCGUUGUUGGCAAUAUGACCGUCAGCGACCAAGCGAAAGCGAUAAGUAAUCCACCGUGGGGAGUACGCCGGCGAACGGUGAAACGUUAGAAGUAGUAGUUAGACGUUAGNGACGNGCGACGGAGACCGACGACGGGAGGGAGAGG
RNAcentral lists this ribosomal RNA (629 nucleotides) under uncultured bacterium. RNAcentral's name for it is "bacterial SSU rRNA". It matches the Rfam family "Bacterial small subunit ribosomal RNA", at positions 338 to 1243 of the family's 1533-position model. The record is from RNAcentral.